GGUGAUGGGGUUUGAAGCAGAAUCGGUUUCAACAGCCAAACCGUGCACGCGCAUCAUCA
Molecule: transfer RNA, 59 nt
Filed under: Boodlea composita
Lineage: Eukaryota; Viridiplantae; Chlorophyta; Ulvophyceae; Cladophorales; Boodleaceae
Description: tRNA-Leu
Source: RNAcentral